Molecule: unclassified non-coding RNA, 445 nt
Filed under: soil metagenome
Description: partial contains 5.8S ribosomal RNA, internal transcribed spacer 2, and large subunit ribosomal RNA
Rfam family: 5.8S ribosomal RNA (bases 1-120)
Source: RNAcentral
GAUGAAGAACGCAGCAAACUGCGAUAAGUAGCGUGAAUUGCAGACGCUUUGAACGUUAAACUUUCGAACGCAUAUUGCGCCGUAGGAGUCCUACCCUACGGCACAUCUGGUUGAGGGUCGUGAUCGUAAACAGCAUGAAUGUGGCUGUAAUAGAAAUAGCUGGUGAAUCAUGGGUUCGGCCCACCCGCCUCGGGUCGAACGUGUUUUGUCAUAAUGCUAUAGAGGACAAUUCAUAUGGAUUGCCUACCACACGGAUGACUUAUCGAUGGAUGCGAUAGGUCCCGGUCCUUGGGUAUCGUAAAUUUGCUUAGGCAAAAAUACUCUUAGGCGUCGGGGACACCGUCGAUUUACCUCAUACGUGCUUGGUGCUAGAGAGUUUUCGCUCUCCCGACCUCAACUCAGGUGUGAUUACCCGCUGAACUUAAGCAUAUCAAUAAGCGGAGGA